AUGGAUCGGCUGCCCCCGCACCUUUCUCCUACUGACAGGCGGCGGACGCCCCUCCCUCCCCUCCCGAGCCUCCCUGCUGCUGGAUCCAGUGCGUGCUGUUAUGCGCUCCUCCAUCUAGUGCAGUGCCCGCGCUGCUGGCGUGGAGUGCUCACGGAUCUGGCAUGCAGUGCAGUGCGCCCCCGACACUUGGUCACGCGUUCUGCUGUUCGUUUCUCGCAGGCGUGCAGCUCGUCCCCCGCGCGGCGUGCAGCUCUACUCUGCCUCGAUGGAACUGCGCCUCCACCUAGUGUUUGUUCAGUUUUGUUUCCACCUCAUGGCCACAAGUGCAGGUUCUCUCGGUUGCAGCUCGGUUGGGUCGUCGCUGAAGUAUGGAGGCACUUGAGAAGUUUAGAACCAUUAGCAACCAUAGAAUCUUCAGUUUUGCAGUGA
RNAcentral lists this ribosomal RNA (429 nucleotides) under Triticum aestivum (bread wheat). RNAcentral's name for it is "partial small subunit ribosomal RNA". Lineage: Eukaryota; Viridiplantae; Streptophyta; Magnoliopsida; Poales; Poaceae. The record is from RNAcentral.